UAAUUUAUAUUUUAAUUAAGAUUAUUAGAAAUUUAUUUUUUAGUUAUGAUUGGGGUGAUUUUUAAAGAUUAUUAAUCUUUAAAAUUUUUUAAUAAAAAAGUUCCAUUAGUCCGCGUUUUUUGAUAAAAAUACUCUAGGGAUAACAGCGUUAUUAUUUUGGAUAGUUCAUAUAGAUAAAAUAGUUUGCGACCUCGAUGUUGGAUCUAGAGAUUCUUUUAUGGAUGAAGAAGUUAUAAGGGAGAAGUUUGCUCAACUUUUAAAGUCCUACUUGAUCUGAGUUCAGACCGGG
RNAcentral lists this ribosomal RNA (289 nucleotides) under Ornithodoros coriaceus. Its description in RNAcentral is "partial 16S ribosomal RNA". The stretch from base 139 to 289 matches the Rfam family "Bacterial large subunit ribosomal RNA", at positions 2473 to 2620 of the family's 2925-position model. Lineage: Eukaryota; Metazoa; Arthropoda; Arachnida; Ixodida; Argasidae. The record is from RNAcentral.